This 244-nucleotide unclassified non-coding RNA is filed under the name uncultured Hypocreales. RNAcentral's name for it is "sequence contains 5.8S rRNA gene, ITS2, 28S rRNA gene". The stretch from base 1 to 52 matches the Rfam family "5.8S ribosomal RNA", at positions 103 to 154 of the family's 154-position model. The record is from RNAcentral. Lineage: Eukaryota; Fungi; Ascomycota; Sordariomycetes; Hypocreales.
AACGCACAUUGCACCCAGUGGUAAUCCGCUGGGUAUGCCUGUCUGAGCGUCAUUUCUACCCUCAAGCUCUGCUUGGUGUUGGCGGAUUGCCCACUGUGGCAACCGCUGAAAUUCAUUAGCGGUAGUACACUAUCCCCCUGUAUAGUCCCCAAUCUUGCAGCGGUCUAGUGGACGAACCAGCCUAACACAAAAAGAAAUUAGCAAAGUUGACCUCAGAUCAGGUAGGAAUACCCGCUGAACUUAA